GAAAAAGAGGGCGGAAAUGCAAGACCAAAUGCUAUCAUGAGAUAUUUUUGUAAUUGUUUAGGAGAGUGUGGCCUCGAGGAUAUGGGUUGUAUUGGUGACCCUUUCACUUGGAGGAGAGGCGAUACUAGAGAGAGGCUUGACCGUGCGGUGUGCAAUGUGGAAUGGGUGAACAAAUUCCCUUGGGCUGCGUUAAUUAAUGAGGAACAUGUUCAUUCUGAUCAUCGUCCACUCAUACUGGAUACUGAAUAUUUUAAC
RNAcentral lists this ribosomal RNA (255 nucleotides) under Triticum aestivum (bread wheat). Its description in RNAcentral is "partial small subunit ribosomal RNA". The record is from RNAcentral. Lineage: Eukaryota; Viridiplantae; Streptophyta; Magnoliopsida; Poales; Poaceae.